GUCUACGGCCAUUCCACCCUGAACACGACCGAUCUCGUCUAAUCUCGGAAACUAAGCAGGGUCAGGCCUGGUUAGUAUUUGGAUGGGAAAUGUGUAGGCUUCAAUGUAAAGAAGCAAGGAUUGUGAAAA
This 129-nucleotide ribosomal RNA is filed under the name Prolemur simus (greater bamboo lemur). Lineage: Eukaryota; Metazoa; Chordata; Mammalia; Primates; Lemuridae. The record is from RNAcentral.